GGGUCAGUAGGUUGGUCGUGCCACCGGUACGUACUGGUCUCACUGAUUCCUCCUUCCUGAAGGACCGUAAUGCCAUUAAUUUGGUGUUGCGGGGAAACAGGACUGUUACUUUGAAAAAAUUAGAGUGUUUAAAGCAAGCUAACGCUUGAAUACAUUAGCAUGGAAUAAUGAAAUAGGACGAUCGAUCCUAUUCUGUUGGUUUCUAGGAUUGACGUA
Molecule: ribosomal RNA, 216 nt
Filed under: Glomeromycotina sp.
Lineage: Eukaryota; Fungi; Glomeromycota
Description: partial small subunit ribosomal RNA
Rfam family: Eukaryotic small subunit ribosomal RNA (bases 40-216)
Source: RNAcentral